RNAcentral lists this ribosomal RNA (301 nucleotides) under uncultured bacterium. Its description in RNAcentral is "partial 16S ribosomal RNA". It matches the Rfam family "Bacterial small subunit ribosomal RNA", at positions 509 to 809 of the family's 1533-position model. The record is from RNAcentral.
CAGCAGCCGCGGGAAUACGUAGGGUGCGAGCGUUAAUCGGAAUUACUGGGCGUAAAGCGUGCGCAGGCGGUUGUGUAAGACAGGUGUGAAAUCCCCGGGCUUAACCUGGGAACUGCGCUUGUGACUGCACAGCUAGAGUAUGGCAGAGGGGGGUGGAAUUCCACGUGUAGCAGUGAAAUGCGUAGAGAUGUGGAGGAACACCGAUGGCGAAGGCAGCCCCCUGGGCCAAUACUGACGCUCAUGCACGAAAGCGUGGGGAGCAAACAGGAUUAGAUACCCGAGUAGUCCCUGUCUCUUAUAA